Long non-coding RNA from Urocitellus parryii (Arctic ground squirrel), 1644 nucleotides. RefSeq lists it as uncharacterized. Lineage: Eukaryota; Metazoa; Chordata; Mammalia; Rodentia; Sciuridae. The record is from RefSeq and is a predicted model, not a curated record.
CCAAGCAGGGAAGGCCACGGAGUCCUGCCGUGGUCAGAGCAGAGGAAGCCCAGCAGUCCUUCAGGGGGACAGCGUGGGCAGCGGCACACCGCAGCAGCCACCGCAAUACCCACAGGCCUCAGAGGCUCGCCAUGGGCCAGCCCAGGCCCUCCACGAGCUUCGGGCCUCCUGGGCAGAGUCAGUAAAGCACCAAGGCUUCCCGAGGGCUGUUCUGCUUCCCAGGCCAGCGGCUGCUCGGGUGGGUCUUGAUACGGUUUUGCUUUCYCCUCUUCUUCCCGGCCUCCAAUCCCUCUGCAGACGAAGACGGGGUCUGGGUCCUGGGGUCAUGCCUUUCAGUACAGAAAGGCCCAAAGAAGAUCAAACUCUCCAUCCACCAGAAACGAGUCCUCUGAGCAUGGUGACAGUGACACUCAGGAUAGCUGGCUCUACGGCACUUCCUCUAACAGUGACUGUGGACACACGUCAGUAUGCUGUAUAGAAAGGUAUGGACUCAGCCACCCGUGGACGGGUGCUGAGAGUCCGCUCAGGUGAGCCUUUCCAGACCCCCCUGCCCCCCGACAGCCCACCUGAUCUGCGCUCUGCCCACKACUUAGCCCUGCGCCCCGACUGUGCAGCAGCUCCUCAGUGCUGCAGAUGUUCGGGGAAUGACUCCGACAGAGGGCUUUCUGUCUCGUUGUCUCAUCUCCUUAGGAAAAUUUCCAGGAAGGAGAGUUUCAGGCUCACAGGGAGUAGGCAUUGUGACAUUUGUGACCCAGUGCCAGCUGACCUUCUAGCUCUGCCCACCAGGCAGCCCUCACCCUCUGCCGAGCCGGCUGUUCCCCUUGUGUCCCUCUCUGCCCGUCCAGUGGGCUGGAUGCUCAACUCUAAGCCCUGUGUGUCCAUCUGGGUUUGGAGGCCUCGUCUGCUCUUUCUUCCUCUUGCCAGCAGUGAGCUUAGGGCCUGAAGCAAGGUGAGGCUCAGGACCCGUCCUGACGGAAGCUGGGUGGGGACAGAGGAGCUGCCAUGUCAAGGAUGCUGCCAGAUGGCGGAGAGAGCCCCAGCGCAGCCGCCAAGUGACAGCCUCGGAAACAACGAUGCAGAUGGGAAGGAGCCCCGAGCUACCCAGGGUGGUCUGGCGCCAGUCACUGAAUGCCUAUGGGGCGGGAAUGCACCCCGACAACCCCCCGAAACUCCCACCAAAGGCCUGAUGUGCCCAGCCGGACCCCGCCAGAAGCAGCCAAGCCUGUACCCUGAGCCUCCUAGGGCUGCGAUCAUCGUCACCCUCUCUGCUGGGAAGCCAGGGGACUGAAGAGCAGGGACAGCAGGCAGCUCUGCCCAGGACUGCCUGGUCCUCAGCUUUCUCUGCCAGCACCCAGGGAGCCGGCAUUCUUCACCCUGCCCCCAGGGGCCUGCUGGAUUAAUUGCACCCAAAUGGCCAACCUCCCUCUCCUUAGCAUGAGCCAGAGCCUGAGGUCUUUCCCUACUGAUUCUGCACCUUUGGGCAACCUCUGGGGCUGCUGGGAAGAUGGAUGAGUUAAUAUGCAAAGAAUAUAGAAUGCACCUGGAAUAGAAGACUCAUUGUUACUGCACAUACCAUGUAAUGUGUGUAUAAUAAAUAAUAUACAAUACAGAGAGCAUGCAGCACACACACACUCCAAAAUAUAA